GACGCGUAAGCGCCGUAGGCAGGAGCGGGGGACCCAGGUAAGCCGCCGGGUCCGCACGGCCCCCACCGAGGGGUUGUACGGGACCGGCUAGGGGUGAAGCCGAGCGCAAGGACGCACGGCCGGGCAACUCAUCAGCCCGAACCCGACAGCUCACCUCGUAGGCGUCGGUGAGGAGAUUC
Streptomyces sp. HCCB10043 is the source of this 179-nucleotide non-coding RNA. Lineage: Bacteria; Bacillati; Actinomycetota; Actinomycetes; Kitasatosporales; Streptomycetaceae. The record is from Rfam.